UCACAAGAUAUGAUGGCCCCAGCUUGUUCU
This 30-nucleotide non-coding RNA is filed under the name Rattus norvegicus (Norway rat). The record is from RNAcentral. Lineage: Eukaryota; Metazoa; Chordata; Mammalia; Rodentia; Muridae.